GGUAACUAAAAGUAAAAUUCAAUUAACAUCAAGGAAUUACCUCUAUGGUUCAAGACUUAGAUUUUUUAACAACUCUUCUUCCAAUAAGGUAAUGUUUUUCCUAAUCCCUUGCAUGGGCUUAAUUUAAUUCAUACUCCUAGUGGUUACUUCAAGGUCAAAACUCAUGGGAUGGUGCUCGAAAGCCAUUAGUCCAAGCUACAACCUAUGGUUUUGGGGUGUUGGAGUUGUUUUGGUGUUGAGGGGAAUUGAGGUUGUAUUGGUUGGCACUGUAGUAGGUUUUUAUUUUGUGAAUAAGUAGUAGAAGGCGGUGGGAGUUAGGAUACCCCACCCUCAGUAGAAGGCGGUGGGAGUUAGGAUACCCCACCCUCAGUAGAAGGCGGUGGGAGUUAGGAUACCCCACCCUCAGUAGAAGGCGGUGGGAGUUAGGAUACCCCACCCUCAGAGGGCUCGGUUCACCUAUGCCCUCCGAGUAUUUGAGGGAUUGCCUCUAUAACCUUGAAAUUAAUCUCUUAAGUUAUUAAUCAUAGUUCCUACCCUCAGUAUUCUUGUAGAUUGAUCUUUAGAAGGAUCAUUACUUCGUGGUAGUAAUUGUAAGUCGGAGCAUAAGGUAUGUAAGGCUAAAUCUCAAUCUUAGAGUUCCUAUAUGUUCUCAUCAACAAAACGUUUAUCCUAUCUGAUGUGUCCUUGUUAUUGAAUCGAUGUGAGUUCAUCUAUACGAAAUGCUAGACUAUCUUUACAUAUGUUCUUCAACAGCCCAGAAUCCCUAUGUUUUCCUUACUAUGCUAGACAACAUAUGCUUCUUACGAUGAGUAUACAAUGAUUCUCCAAAGCUUCCUACAUAUGUAGAAUACGGGAUAUGUUCUUUCACUUAGACUUUUAUGAGCCCCCUUAUACGUUUUCAAGAUCACAUAUAUACAUAAAAAGAACUACACAUUUCCAAAAGCUCCUAGACAAGGGAUAUCUAAAUG
This 968-nucleotide long non-coding RNA is filed under the name Solanum tuberosum (potato). RNAcentral's name for it is "long non-coding RNA (STUB_LNC003581)". Lineage: Eukaryota; Viridiplantae; Streptophyta; Magnoliopsida; Solanales; Solanaceae. The record is from RNAcentral.